This 491-nucleotide ribosomal RNA is filed under the name uncultured bacterium. RNAcentral describes it as "bacterial SSU rRNA". It matches the Rfam family "Bacterial small subunit ribosomal RNA", at positions 29 to 524 of the family's 1533-position model. The record is from RNAcentral.
AUUGAACGCUGGCGGCAUGCCUAACACAUGCAAGUCGAACGGGGGCAGCAAUGCCCUAGUGGCGGACGGGUGAGGAAUACGUAGGAACCGGCCCACGAGUGGGGGACAACCUGGGGAAACCCAGGCUAAUACCGCAUACGCUCGCGAGAGGAAAGCGGGGGACCUUCGGGCCUCGCGCUGGUGGACGGGCCUACGUCCGAUUAGCUAGUUGGUGGGGUAAAAGCCUACCAAGGCGACGAUCGGUAGCUGGUCUGAGAGGAUGAUCAGCCACACUGGGACUGAGACACGGCCCAGACUCCUACGGGAGGCAGCAGUGGGGAAUAUUGGACAAUGGGCGCAAGCCUGAUCCAGCAAUGCCGCGUGGGUGAAGAAGGCCUGCGGGUUGUAAAGCCCUUUAAGCGGGGAGGAAAGCCGGGGUGUGAAUAGCGCCUCGGGGUGACGUUACCGCAGAAUAAGCACCGGCGUAACUCCGUGCCAGCAGCCGCGGUAAU